This 974-nucleotide non-coding RNA is filed under the name Otolemur crassicaudatus (thick-tailed bush baby). RNAcentral describes it as "12S ribosomal RNA". It matches the Rfam family "Bacterial small subunit ribosomal RNA". Lineage: Eukaryota; Metazoa; Chordata; Mammalia; Primates; Galagidae. The record is from RNAcentral.
CAAAGGUUUGGUCCUGGCCUUCUUAUUAGUUAUCAGUAGGCCUACACAUGCAAGUUGCCGCACUCCAGUGAGAAUGCCCUCUAGAUCACGCGACCAAAAGGAGCAGGUAUCAAGCUCACUUCAACCAACAAGUAGCUCACAACACCUUGCUUAGCCACACCCCCACGGGUAACAGCAGUGAUAGACAUUAAGCAAUAAACGAAAGUUUGACUAAGCCAUACUGACCACAUCUGCUUAAGGGUUGGUAAAUUUCGUGCCAGCCACCGCGGUCAUACGAUUAACCCAAACUAAUAAAACCCGGCGUAAAGAGUGUUUUAGAUAGACACAUAAUAAAGUUAAGUAUUAACUAAGCCGUAAAAAGCCCUAGUUAAAACAAAAAUAAACAGCGAAAGCAACUUUAAACCUCUGAAAACACGACAGUUAAGACCCAAACUGGGAUUAGAUACCCCACUAUGCUUAACCGUAAACCUAAAUAUCUAAUCAACAAAGUUAUUCGCCAGAGCACUACAAGCAACAGCUUAAAACUCAAAGGACUUGGCGGUGCUUUAUAUCCCCCUAGAGGAGCCUGUUCUAUAAUCGAUAAACCCCGAUAAACCUCACCACCCCUUGCUAAUUCAACCUAUAUACCGCCAUCCUCAGCAAACCCUGUUAAGGUAACAAAGUAAGCAAGAGAAUCGCACAUUAAAACGUUAGGUCAAGGUGUAGUCUAUGAGGUGGGAAGAAAUGGGCUACAUUUUCUACUUACCAUAGAACAAUUAACGCCAGCCCCUAUGAAACACAUUGGCAAAAGGCGGAUUUAGCAGUAAAUUAAGAAUAGAGAGCUUAGUUGAACAGGGCAAUGAAGCACGCACACACCGCCCGUCACCCUCCUCAAACUACUUUAGAACCUCAACAUACAUAAUCCACAUUACUAAACUACUAGAGGAGAUAAGUCGUAACAAGGUAAGCAUACUGGAAAGUGUGCUUGGAUUCAC